Molecule: ribosomal RNA, 492 nt
Filed under: uncultured bacterium
Lineage: Bacteria
Description: partial 16S ribosomal RNA
Rfam family: Bacterial small subunit ribosomal RNA
Source: RNAcentral
AGUGAACGCUGGCGGUAGGCCUAACACAUGCAAGUCGAACGGCAGCACAGUAAGAGCUUGCUCUUACGGGUGGCGAGUGGCGGACGGGUGAGGAAUACAUCGGAAUCUACUUUUUCGUGGGGGAUAACGUAGGGAAACUUCCGCUAAUACCCCAUCCGACCUACGGGUGAAAGCAGGGGAUCUUCGGACCUUGCGCGUUUGAAUGAGCCGAUGUCGGAUUAGCUAGUUGGCGGGGUAAAGGCCCACCAAGGCGACGAUCCGUAGCUGGUCUGAGAGGAUGAUCAGCCACACUGGAACUGAGACACGGUCCAGACUCCUACGGGAGGCAGCAGUGGGGAAUAUUGGACAAUGGGCGCAAGCCUGAUCCAGCCAUACCGCGUGGGUGAAGAAGGCCUUCGGGUUGUAAAGCCCUUUUGUUGGGAAAGAAAAGCAGCAGGUUAAUACCCCGCUGUUCUGACGGUACCCAAAGAAUAAGCACCGGCUAACUUCGUG